RNAcentral lists this ribosomal RNA (433 nucleotides) under uncultured bacterium. RNAcentral's name for it is "partial 16S ribosomal RNA". It matches the Rfam family "Bacterial small subunit ribosomal RNA", at positions 29 to 507 of the family's 1533-position model. The record is from RNAcentral.
AACGAACGCUGGCGGCAUGCCUAACACAUGCAAGUCGAACGAGACCUUCGGGUCUAGUGGCGCACGGGUGCGUAACGCGUGGGAACCUGCCCUUAGGUUCGGAAUAACUCCCCGAAAGGGGUGCUAAUACCGGAUAAUGUCUUCGGACCAAAGAUUUAUCGCCUUUGGAUGGGCCCGCGUUGGAUUAGCUAGUUGGUAGGGUAAAAGCCUACCAAGGCGACGAUCCAUAGCUGGUCUGAGAGGAUGAUCAGCCACACUGGGACUGAGACACGGCCCAGACCCCGGCGGGGGGCAGCAGGGGGUAAUUUUGAACAGGGGGCAAAGGCUUGCCCCACCAACGCCCCGUGAGUGAUGAGGCCUUUGGGGUUUAAACGCUUUUUUCCCCGGGAUGAUAAUGACAUUCCGGGAAAAAUAAGCCCCGCCUACCCCCGUC